Molecule: ribosomal RNA, 278 nt
Filed under: Microcopris reflexus
Lineage: Eukaryota; Metazoa; Arthropoda; Insecta; Coleoptera; Scarabaeidae
Description: partial 28S ribosomal RNA
Rfam family: Eukaryotic large subunit ribosomal RNA
Source: RNAcentral
GGGACUCGAUUAAACCUAAAGGCGCAAUGAAAGUAAAGGUCCGCCGCGCGCGGACCGAGGGAGGACGGGCCCGUCUACGGGCGGGCCCCGCACUCCCGGGGCGUCUCGCCCUCAUCGCGAGGAGAGGCGCACCCAGAGCGUACACGCUGGGACCCGAAAGAUGGUGAACUAUGCCUGGUCAGGACGAAGUCAGGGGAAACCCUGAUGGAGGUCCGUAGCGAUUCUGACGUGCAAAUCGAUCGUCGGAACUGGGUAUAGGGGCGAAAGACUAAUCGAAC